Non-coding RNA from Pristionchus pacificus, 61 nucleotides. The record is from Rfam. NCBI's taxonomy places the organism in Eukaryota, Metazoa, Nematoda, Chromadorea, Rhabditida, Neodiplogasteridae.
UCUUCAUUUCCCGUGCUCUCUCACCGGUCAGAGCUGUGAGAUAGUGUAGGAAAUGAAGAGA